RNAcentral lists this ribosomal RNA (856 nucleotides) under Myroides odoratimimus subsp. xuanwuensis. Its description in RNAcentral is "bacterial SSU rRNA". It matches the Rfam family "Bacterial small subunit ribosomal RNA", at positions 74 to 932 of the family's 1533-position model. Lineage: Bacteria; Pseudomonadati; Bacteroidota; Flavobacteriia; Flavobacteriales; Flavobacteriaceae. The record is from RNAcentral.
AAGAGCUUGCUUUUUUGAGACCGGCGCACGGGUGAGUAACGCGUAUGCAACCUACCUUAUACAGGGGAAUAGCCCGAAGAAAUUCGGAUUAAUGCUCCAUGGUUUAUCGAUAUGGCAUCGUAUUGAUAAUAAAGAUUUAUCGGUAUAAGAUGGGCAUGCGUAUCAUUAGCUAGUUGGUGUGGUAACGGCAUACCAAGGCAACGAUGAUUAGGGGUCCUGAGAGGGAGAUCCCCCACACUGGUACUGAGACACGGACCAGACUCCUACGGGAGGCAGCAGUGAGGAAUAUUGGUCAAUGGAGGCAACUCUGAACCAGCCAUGCCGCGUGCAGGAUGACGGUCCUAUGGAUUGUAAACUGCUUUUGUACAGGAAGAAACCUCCCUACGAGUAGGGACUUGACGGUACUGUAAGAAUAAGGAUCGGCUAACUCCGUGCCAGCAGCCGCGGUAAUACGGAGGAUCCGAGCGUUAUCCGGAAUUAUUGGGUUUAAAGGGUUCGUAGGCGGCUUUGUAAGUCAGUGGUGAAAUUUCCUAGCUUAACUAGGACACUGCCAUUGAUACUGCAGAGCUUGAAUAAUAUGGAAGUAACUAGAAUAUGUAGUGUAGCGGUGAAAUGCUUAGAUAUUACAUGGAAUACCAAUUGCGAAGGCAGGUUACUACGUAUUUAUUGACGCUGAUGAACGAAAGCGUGGGGAGCGAACAGGAUUAGAUACCCUGGUAGUCCACGCCGUAAACGAUGGAUACUAGCUGUUCGGUUUUCGGACUGAGUGGCUAAGCGAAAGUGAUAAGUAUCCCACCUGGGGAGUACGUUCGCAAGAAUGAAACUCAAAGGAAUUGACGGGGGCCCGCACAAGCGG